This 482-nucleotide ribosomal RNA is filed under the name uncultured bacterium. RNAcentral describes it as "bacterial SSU rRNA". It matches the Rfam family "Bacterial small subunit ribosomal RNA", at positions 28 to 365 of the family's 1533-position model. The record is from RNAcentral.
GACGAACGCUGGCGGCGUGCCUAACACAUGCAAGUCGAGCGGAGAUUUCUUUGGCACUGAAUACUCUAGCAAUGAAGCGGACCAAGCGUCAUGAAGAAACAACAUAGAUGUUGAGAUCAUGAUAGAAGUUUCUUCAUCACGCGUUUUUCAAGUGCCAACACAUGAGAACAAUACGAAAUAGAGUAUUGAGUGCCGAAGAAAUCUUAGCGGCGGACGGGUGAGUAACACGUGGGCAACCUGCCCCUUGAGCGGGGGAUAACGACCGGAAAGUCGGUCGACUAAUACCGCAUAACAUACAAGUACCGCAUGGUGCGAGUAUCAAAGGAGAAAUCCACUCAAGGAUGGGCCCGCGGCUGAUUAGCUAGUUGGUAAGGUAAAGGCUUACCAAGGCGACGAUCAGUAGCCGACCUGAGAGGGUGACCGGCCACACUGGAACUGAGACACGGUCCAGACUCCUACGGGAGGCAGCAGUGGGGAAUAUU